GAUUGGGUCAGGCAGCAAAUAUACUUUUUAAGAAUGUUUAUUUGCGACUGUAUCCACAUCACUA
This 64-nucleotide microRNA precursor is filed under the name Strongyloides ratti. RNAcentral's name for it is "pre miRNA Sra-mir-7880.7". Lineage: Eukaryota; Metazoa; Nematoda; Chromadorea; Rhabditida; Strongyloididae. The record is from RNAcentral.